This is a long non-coding RNA of Globicephala melas (long-finned pilot whale), 1146 nucleotides long. RefSeq lists it as uncharacterized. Lineage: Eukaryota; Metazoa; Chordata; Mammalia; Artiodactyla; Delphinidae. The record is from RefSeq and is a predicted model, not a curated record.
AUUUUAUUCUGUUAAAAAAUGUAGCACAAUUUGUUUAACUAGUCCCCAACUGAUUUACUUUAAAUUCGUUCUAAUUCUUUAUAGUUUAAAAAUGUUAUUAAGAAUAUUCUUGGGCUUCCCUGGUGGCACAGUGGUUGAGAGUCCGCCUGCCGAUGCAGGGGACACGGAUUUGUGCCUCAGUCCGGGAAGAUCACACAUGCCGCGGAGCGGCUGGUUCAGUGAGCCAUGGCCGCUGAACCUGCGCGUCCGGAGCCUGUGCUCCGCAACGGGAGAGGCCACAACAGUGAGAGGCCCGUGUACCACACACACACACAAAAAGAAUAUUCUUGAACAUGCAUCCUUGCCUAUUUAUGAAAAUAUUUCUGUUGGAGAGAUACUAAGACAUGGACCUGCUGAAUCGAAGGUUCUGGAGGCCAGAAGUCCAAAAUCAGUUUCACUGGGCUAAAGUCCAGUUAUCAGCAGAACUGGUCCCUUCUGGAGGUGCUGAGAAAACAGAGGGGGAAAAAAAGAAAUCUGGCUGUAAUGGAAAGAGGAAGGAGAAAGAGAGAAGUAGAUGGAAAGAGGUAGAUUAAAAAAAUAUGAGAAAGUCCUGAGCCGUUUAAUUACUACUGGAAGGAGCCUGAAGAGGAACAUCAAGAUCUGACCUACAUGGAUUGCUGCAAGAACAAAGGAUUCCAAGAAAUUUGCAACAACCAACCACACCCUCUCCCCUUUUAGUCUGAAUUCUAGCUUGGGUAAGGUGGUUCUUUGGGACACUAGUCCACCAUCUUCUUGGUCUACCGGCUUUCUGAAUAAAGUUGCUAUUCCUUGCCCCAACACCUCGUCUGUUGAUUUACUGGCCCUGUCCUGCAGUGAGCAGUAUGAACUUGGACUUGGUAACAAGGACACCUGGGAAAGCAGUCAAGCAAGGACUUUUGUAAUAUUCUAAUGGAAAAAAAUGGAGAAAUAUGGGCUGUAUAACAGCUCUUUUAGGAGUAUUCCAAACAAAAUGAAUGCUUAUUCUCCGAAAGUCCUAAUUAAUAAAAGGAUUGAUAUUGACCUAAAAGGAGGUUUUCAGACCAUGUUGUGUAGCUCUGAUUUGAGCUCUGUACUGCUUAAUAGUUAAUCAUGACUUGAAGAUACAAAAAGUAACUAAUUAAAUUUGAA